RNAcentral lists this ribosomal RNA (450 nucleotides) under uncultured bacterium. RNAcentral describes it as "bacterial SSU rRNA". It matches the Rfam family "Bacterial small subunit ribosomal RNA", at positions 355 to 796 of the family's 1533-position model. The record is from RNAcentral.
UGGGGAAUAUUGGACAAUGGGCGAAAGCCUGAUCCAGCCAUGCCGCGUGUGUGAAGAAGGCCUUUUGGUUGUAAAGCACUUUAAGCGGGGAGGAGGGCACCACGGUUAAUACCCGUGAAUGUCGGACGUUACCCGCAGAAUAAGCACCGGCUAACUCUGUGCCAGCAGCCGCGGUAAUACAGAGGGUGCGAGCGUUAAUCGGAAUUACUGGGCGUAAAGCGCGCGUAGGCGGCUUGUUAAGUCGGAUGUGAAAUCCCUGGGCUCAACCUAGGCAUUGCAUUCGAUACUGGCAAGCUAGAGUAUGGGAGAGGAAGGUAGAAUUCCAGGUGUAGCGGUGAAAUGCGUAGAGAUCUGGAGGAAUACCGAUGGCGAAGGCAGCCUUCUGGCCUAAUACUGACGCUGAGGUGCGAAAGCAUGGGGAGCAAACAGGAUUAGAUACCCCCGUAGUCC